UACGUAGGGGGCAAGCGUUGUCCGGAUUUAUUGGGCGUAAAGAGCGUGUAGGCGGCCAGGUAGGUCUGCUGUGAAAACUCGAGGCUCAACCUCGAGCUGUCGGUGGAAACUGUGUGGCUAGAGUCCGGAAGAGGAGAGUGGAAUUCCCGGUGUAGCGGUGAAAUGCGCAGAUAUCGGGAAGAACACCCGUGGCGAAGGCGGCUCUCUGGGACGGUACUGACGCCGAGACGCGAAAGCGUGGGGAGCGAACAGG
This 253-nucleotide ribosomal RNA is filed under the name uncultured bacterium. RNAcentral describes it as "partial 16S ribosomal RNA". It matches the Rfam family "Bacterial small subunit ribosomal RNA", at positions 524 to 776 of the family's 1533-position model. The record is from RNAcentral.